AAUAGCUCACUGGUCGAGUCGGCCUGCGCGGAAGAUGUAACGGGGCUAAACCAUGCACCGAAGCUGCGGCAGCGACACUAUGUGUUGUUGGGUAGGGGAGCGUUCUGUAAGCCUGCGAAGGUGACCUGUGAGGGUUGCUGGAGGUAUCAGAAGUGCGAAUGCUGACAUAAGUAACGAUAAAGCGGGUGAAAAGCCCGCUCGCCGGAAGACCAAGGGUUCCUGUCCAACGUUAAUCGGGGCAGGGUGAGUCGACCCCUAAGGCGAGGCCGAAAGGCGUAGUCGAUGGGAAACAGGUUAAUAUUCCUGUACUUGGUGUUACUGCGAAGGGGGGACGGAGAAGGCUAUGUUAGCCGGGCGACGGUUGUCCCGGUUUAAGCAUGUAGGCUGGUUAUCCAGGCAAAUCCGGAUAAUCAAGGCUGAGGUGUGAUGACGAGGCACUACGGUGCUGAAGUAACAAAUGCCCUGCUUCCAGGAAAAGCCUCUAAGCAUCAGGUAACAUCAAAUCGUACCCCAAACCGACACAGGUGGUCAGGUAGAGAAUACCAAGGCGCUUGAGAGAACUCGGGUGAAGGAACUAGGCAAAAUGGUGCCGUAACUUCGGGAGAAGGCACGCUGGUGUGUAGGUGAAGUCCCUGCGGAUGGAGCUGAGACCAGUCGAAGAUACCAGCUGGCUGCAACUGUUUAUUAAAAACACAGCACUGUGCAAACACGAAAGUGGACGUAUACGGUGUGACGCCUGCCCGGUGCCGGAAGGUUAAUUGAUGGGGUUAUCCGUAAGGAGAAGCUCUUGAUCGAAGCCCCGGUAAACGGCGGCCGUAACUAUAACGGUCCUAAGGUAGCGAAAUUCCUUGUCGGGUAAGUUCCGACCUGCACGAAUGGCGUAAUGAUGGCCAGGCUGUCUCCACCCGAGACUCAGUGAAAUUGAACUCGCUGUGAAGAUGCAGUGUACCCGCGGCAAGACGGAAAGACCCCGUGAACCUUUACUAUAGCUUGACACUGAACAUUGAGCCUUGAUGUGUAGGAUAGGUGGGAGGCUUUGAAGCGUGGACGCCAGUCUGCGUGGAGCCAACCUUGAAAUACCACCCUUUAAUGUUUGAUGUUCUAACGUUGGCCCCUGACCGGGGUUGCGGACAGUGUCUGGUGGGUAGUUUGACUGGGGCGGUCUCCUCCCAAAGCGUAACGGAGGAGCACGAAGGUUAGCUAAUCCUGGUCGGACAUCAGGAGGUUAGUGCAAUGGCAUAAGCUAGCUUGACUGCGAGCGUGACGGCGCGAGCAGGUGCGAAAGCAGGUCAUAGUGAUCCGGUGGUUCUGAAUGGAAGGGCCAUCGCUCAACGGAUAAAAGGUACUCCGGGGAUAACAGGCUGAUACCGCCCAAGAGUUCAUAUCGACGGCGGUGUUUGGCACCUCGAUGUCGGCUCAUCACAUCCUGGGGCUGAAGUAGGUCCCAAGGGUAUGGCUGUUCGCCAUUUAAAGUGGUACGCGAGCUGGGUUUAGAACGUCGUGAGACAGUUCGGUCCCUAUCUGCCGUGGGCGCUGGAGAAUUGAGGGGGGCUGCUCCUAGUACGAGAGGACCGGAGUGGACGCAUCACUGGUGUUCGGGUUGUCAUGCCAAUGGCACUGCCCGGUAGCUAAAUGCGGAAGAGAUAAGUGCUGAAAGCAUCUAAGCACGAAACUUGCCCCGAGAUGAGUUCUCCCUGAGACUUUAAGUCUCCUGAAGGAACGUUAAAGACGAUGACGUUGAUAGGCCGGGUGUGUAAGCGCAGCGAUGCGUUGAGCUAACCGGUACUAAUGAACCGUGAGGCUUAACCUU
This 1810-nucleotide ribosomal RNA is filed under the name Klebsiella pneumoniae. RNAcentral's name for it is "partial 23S ribosomal RNA". It matches the Rfam family "Bacterial large subunit ribosomal RNA", at positions 1136 to 2925 of the family's 2925-position model. The record is from RNAcentral. Lineage: Bacteria; Pseudomonadati; Pseudomonadota; Gammaproteobacteria; Enterobacterales; Enterobacteriaceae.